This 309-nucleotide ribosomal RNA is filed under the name Triticum aestivum (bread wheat). RNAcentral's name for it is "partial small subunit ribosomal RNA". Lineage: Eukaryota; Viridiplantae; Streptophyta; Magnoliopsida; Poales; Poaceae. The record is from RNAcentral.
AUGGAUCCCUCCGCGGCCAAAGCUCUCUGGGACGGGCUUACGUCGGAGCAGAAGAAGGCCAUGGCCGCCAUUGCUGCCGACUGGCAGGACGACAUGCAGUCGGAGGACGUGCAAAUGGAGGGCGCCUCCUCCGAUGAGCCAGCUCGAUCCUCCUCUUCCUCCGCGGCACCCUCCGCCAACGCUCCACCCUCGUGGGUGCAUUGCACCAUGACCAUCGGCAAGACCUGUUCCUAUUAUAUGGACAUGGUGCGGGAGGAGCGGGAGGAGCACACUGACGCCGACGCUGGCUACAACCACAACCUCCUCUAG